Molecule: ribosomal RNA, 979 nt
Filed under: uncultured organism
Description: bacterial SSU rRNA
Rfam family: Bacterial small subunit ribosomal RNA
Source: RNAcentral
CGGGCUCUUCGGAGCUAGUGGCGGACGGGUGAGUAACGCGUGAGAAUCUGCCUUCAGGAGGGGGAUAACGACUGGAAACGGUCGCUAAUACCCCAUAUGCCUCCGGGUGAAAAGUAAUUCGCCUGAAGAUGAGCUCGCGUCAGAUUAGCUAGUUGGUGGGGUAAGAGCCUACCAAGGCGACGAUCUGUAGCUGGUCUGAGAGGAUGAUCAGCCACACUGGGACUGAGACACGGCCCAGACUCCUACGGGAGGCAGCAGUGGGGAAUUUUCCGCAAUGGGCGCAAGCCUGACGGAGCAAGACCGCGUGGGGGAUGACGGCCUAAUGGUUGUAAACCCCUUUUCUCUGGGAAGAAGACUGACGGUACCAGAGGAAUCAGCCUCGGCUAACUCCGUGCCAGCAGCCGCGGUAAUACGGAGGAGGCAAGCGUUAUCCGGAAUUAUUGGGCGUAAAGCGUCCGUAGGUGGUUAUUCAAGUCUGCUGUCAAAGCGUGGGGCUUAACUCCAUAGAGGCAGUGGAAACUGAGUGACUAGAGUGCGGUAGGGGUCGAGGGAAUUCCCAGUGUAGCGGUGAAAUGCGUAGAUCUUGGGAAGAACACCAGUGGCGAAAGCGCUCGACUGGGCCUGCACUGACACUGAGGGACGAAAGCUAGGGGAGCGAAAGGGAUUAGAUACCCCUGUAGUCCUAGCCGUAAACGAUGGAUACUAGGUGUUGCUCGUCAUCGACCCGAGCAAUGCCGUAGCCAACGCGUUACGUAUCCCGCCUGGGGAGUACGCUCGCAAGAGUGAAACUCAAAGGAAUGACGGGGGGCCGCACAAGCGGUGGAGUAUGUGGUUUAAUUCGAAUGCAACGCGAAGAACCUUACCAGGGCUUGACAUGUCCGGAACCUUGCCGAGAGGUGAGGGUGCCUUCGGGAGCCGGAACACCAGGUUGUGCAUGGGUGACGUCAGCUCGUGUCGUGAGAAUGUUGGGUUAAGUCCC